RNAcentral lists this ribosomal RNA (252 nucleotides) under uncultured bacterium. RNAcentral describes it as "partial 16S ribosomal RNA". It matches the Rfam family "Bacterial small subunit ribosomal RNA", at positions 524 to 776 of the family's 1533-position model. The record is from RNAcentral.
UACGUAGGGUGCAAGCGUUGUCCGGAAUUAUUGGGCGUAAAGAGCUCGUAGGCGGUCUGUUGCGUCCGCUGUGAAAACUCGGGGCUUAACCCCGAGCCUGCAGUGGAUACGGGCAGACUAGAGGUAGGUAGGGGAGAAUGGAAUUCCCGGUGUAGCGGUGAAAUGCGCAGAUAUCGGGAGGAACACCGGUGCGAAGGCGGUUCUCUGGGCCGUAACUGACGCUGAGGAGCGAAAGCAUGGGGAGCGAACAGG